UUUGUAGAAUGAACCGGCGAGUUACGAUUUGUUGCAAGGUUAAGCGGAAAAAGCGGAGCCGUAGCGAAAGCGAGUCUGAAUAGGGCGCAUAAGUAACAGGUCGUAGACCCGAAACCAGGUGAUCUACCCAUGUCCAGGAUGAAGGUAAGGUAAUACUUACUGGAGGUCCGAACCCACGCACGUUGAAAAGUGCGGGGAUGAGGUGUGGGUAGCGGAGAAAUUCCAAUCGAACUUGGAGAUAGCUGGUUCUCUCCGAAAUAGCUUUAGGGCUAGCCUCGAGGUAAAGAGUCAUGGAGGUAGAGCACUGUUUGGACUAGGGGCCCUUCUCGGGUUACCGAAUUCAGAUAAACUCCGAAUGCCAUGUACUUAUACUCGGGAGUCAGACUGCGAGUGAUAAGAUCCGUAGUCGAAAGGGAAACAGCCCAGACCACCAGUUAAGGUCCCCAAAUAUAUGUUAAGUGGAAAAGGAUGUGGGGUUGCUUAGACAACCAGGAUGUUGGCUUAGAAGCAGCCACCAUUGAAAGAGUGCGUAAUAGCUCACUGGUCGAGUGACCCCGCGCCGAAAAUGUACCGGGGCUAAACAUAUUACCGAAACUGUGGAUGAACCUCUUUAGAGGUUCGUGGUAGGAGAGCGUUCUAAGGGCGGUGAAGUCAGACCGGAAGGACUGGUGGAGCGCUUAGAAGUGAGAAUGCCGGUAUGAGUAGCGAAAGAAGGGUGAGAAUCCCUUCCACCGAAUAUCUAAGGUUUCCUGAGGAAGGCUCGUCCGCUCAGGGU
Molecule: ribosomal RNA, 775 nt
Filed under: Listeria monocytogenes
Lineage: Bacteria; Bacillati; Bacillota; Bacilli; Caryophanales; Listeriaceae
Description: partial 23S ribosomal RNA
Rfam family: Bacterial large subunit ribosomal RNA
Source: RNAcentral